AUUGAACGCUGGCGGCAGGCCUAACACAUGCAAGUCGAGCGGAUGAAGGGAGCUUGCUCCUGGAUUCAGCGGCGGACGGGUGAGUAAUGCCUAGGAAUCUGCCUGGUAGUGGGGGAUAACGUCCGGAAACGGGCGCUAAUACCGCAUACGUCCUGAGGGAGAAAGUGGGGGAUCUUCGGACCUCACGCUAUCAGAUGAGCCUAGGUCGGAUUAGCUAGUUGGUGGGGUAAAGGCCUACCAAGGCGACGAUCCGUAACUGGUCUGAGAGGAUGAGCAGUCACACUGGAACUGAGACACGGUCCAGACGCCUACGGGAGGCAGCAGUGGGGAAUAUUGGACAAUGGGCGAAAGCCUGAUCCAGCCAUGCCGCGUGUGUGAAGAAGGUCUUCGGAUUGUAAAGCACUUUAAGUGGGGAGGAAGGGCAGUAAGUUAAUACCUUGCUGUUUUGACGUUACCAACAGAAUAAGCACCGGCUAACUUCGUG
Molecule: ribosomal RNA, 484 nt
Filed under: uncultured bacterium
Lineage: Bacteria
Description: partial 16S ribosomal RNA
Rfam family: Bacterial small subunit ribosomal RNA
Source: RNAcentral